UUGACGUGACGUCAACAAUGCUUUGCCGUUUUAAUAUAUUUAUUGUUGUCAAAACGGUAAAUACGCACAUUCGUCUGAAUAUAAUUUAAUUUAAAAAGAUCGCUGUUUGCCAUUUAUAAUUAUAUUUAAUUUAAAUGUGUAUAAAUAUAAAAUAUCUGGGAAUAGAGAAUACUACCUAAUGAUGAUAUCUAGAAUGACUGCGAGGACGAUGAUGACCACAAGACCAACACCAGCCACUGCUCCAGCAAUCAUUGGCAUCAUGUUUUGAUCUUCAGAUUAUUAAAAAGGUGAUGAGCCACUCAGAAUGCCUCCCCUUCAUCCAACUCCCCAUAAAAGGUAGAGAGGAACGGUCAUCAAUGACCGGGAGUGAGUCAACGAGAAAAUGCCGACACUCCCAGCCCGCUUCACCCGCUUCACACUCAGAAGGGAAGACUGUGUCUCGUCCUCGUGGUCUCGAUCGUUCGUCAGUGUUACUUGACGUCUUGGCAAUGCAUACUAUAGAAAUGAUCCCUAAAAUUGUCCAGGUUUGAAGAUGUACUUUCUGUUGUUAAUCUGUGAAUCGUCCACCUGGACGUUUGUACCUUGGAAGGACCAAGUGAUGUCCACGUAAUCGUUGGCACAAGAGGAAAGCUG
Molecule: long non-coding RNA, 633 nt
Filed under: Gigantopelta aegis
Lineage: Eukaryota; Metazoa; Mollusca; Gastropoda; Neomphalida; Peltospiridae
Description: uncharacterized LOC121381826, transcript variant X2
Source: RNAcentral